ACAGCCCUGGAAGGGUACCUGGGCCCCAGCUCUCCAUGCCUGGUCUCCACACUGCAUUUUCCCAAGUUCCCAUGGAGAGAUACAUUUCACUUGCCCAUCAUUUGGAGGGUUCGUUCAUGUCCCUCAGAAGUGGAGAAGGAUGGGGAGAGAAACCUGGUGGGAGAAGGGCAGAGAGAAGAGGUGGCCAGAGGAGGCAGCAAUGGUACAGUUGUAUUUCUGACGCUGACAUCAUGAUGUCGUAUAAAGAAAUACGGGCCUGGUUUGAUAACAGAGACCUUGAGAAGUGGAGACACAGGAUCCAGUUUAGAAGAGUGCAGGCAUGGGAUGACAAGAGAUGGGGCAGAGACUUGGCCCUGGUGGCUGAACAGCUAUAAACAGCUCACCACAGGUCGGUUAAAGAAAUGCAGACCUGGAGCCAGACUAAAACUGUUUUCAUGGGCAACAAAAAGAACAAAGAACAAGUAUGUAACAUAUGUAAAAUGCACCAUAUAUAGUAAAUUUGGAUGUAAUGUGGAAUUGCAGAUCAGUGAAGAAAGACUAAGGUGUAAAAGAGUGUUAGCAAAUAUAAAAAAUGACCCCAGAUGGACCCUAUAGCGAGGAAUAAGAAACUGUCAACAGUAACCUCAUAUUCCUUCCAGUGAAGGACUCCAGAUGCUGAUGACUCGCCAUAACGCCUCCUCCCCCUCCCCCGGAGUGAAACUACCAACCUCAGGACCCAAAAGAGCUGUGGAAGGGUCAGCAUAACACCAGGAAAAGGGAUAGAAACUAAAAGAAGUGUGUGUGUAACCAUUUUAACUGUAUUAUUACUAUUAUUGAGACUUUUUCUGUAUAGAAGCAUUCUUUCUUUUUCUGAUAUAGUUAGAUCUGGAAUGUUAUGAUUAUUGGAUUAAACUAUUAAGAUUUCAUU
Dromaius novaehollandiae (emu) is the source of this 907-nucleotide long non-coding RNA. RefSeq lists it as uncharacterized. Lineage: Eukaryota; Metazoa; Chordata; Aves; Casuariiformes; Dromaiidae. The transcript is spliced from 3 exons. The record is from RefSeq and is a predicted model, not a curated record.